Molecule: ribosomal RNA, 497 nt
Filed under: uncultured bacterium
Lineage: Bacteria
Description: partial 16S ribosomal RNA
Rfam family: Bacterial small subunit ribosomal RNA
Source: RNAcentral
GAUGAACGCUGGCGGCGUGCCUAAUACAUGCAAGUCGAGCGAACGGACGAGAAGCUUGCUUCUCUGAUGUUAGCGGCGGACGGGUGAGUAACACGUGGAUAACCUACCUAUAAGACUGGGAUAACUUCGGGAAACCGGAGCUAAUACCGGAUAAUAUUUUGAACCGCAUGGUUCAAAAGUGAAAGACGGUCUUGCUGUCACUUAUAGAUGGAUCCGCGCUGCAUUAGCUAGUUGGUAAGGUAACGGCUUACCAAGGCAACGAUGCAUAGCCGACCUGAGAGGGUGAUCGGCCACACUGGAACUGAGACACGGUCCAGACUCCUACGGGAGGCAGCAGUAGGGAAUCUUCGGCAAUGGGCGAAAGCCUGACGGAGCAACGCCGCGUGAGUGAUGAAGGUCUUCGGAUCGUAAAACUCUGUUAUUAGGGAAGAACAUAUGUGUAAGUAACUGUGCACAUCUUGACGGUACCUAAUCAGAAAGCCACGGCUAACUACGUG